UCUGUCCUUAGUUUGCGUUUCACAAUCACGGAUAAGUGCUAUCUCUCUUUAACCAACAGUAGAUAGCUUCUUCCCUCCGAUUUAUCCGAGCCUCUUGAUACGUUUCGUUCUACUACAAAUACGAAACAACAUCAGGAUCAAGACUUAUUUUAUUUUAUUCUAAAUUAUAACUAUAAUUUAACCAGCAUAUUGUAGACUAUCAUAAACACAUUUGUCUAUAACAAAAAGUAAUAAAAACAUAUGUAGAUUUUUUUAAAUUGGACGUAUUGCUAUUUUUAUCCUAGUCGAAAUUAUGAAACGAAACGUUUUGACAGUCCGUUUGCCAAUAAGCAGUGAUCAGUUUCUUUUGUUUGUUUUUCUAUUGUUUACCUACUAUAUUAGAUGAUGACUUACCUCCAAAACGCUUUAAAACUUUCGUUUAUAAUUCUAAGUGUGUUUAUAAUUAAAGAGCUACAGUGAAAUAAAAGAAUUCUUCAAGAAAGGCAGCACCCAUGACAAAAGAUGAGACGAUGAUUCUAGCAGAACUUGUGGCGGCGAAAAACCAUUUCAAUAAUAAGGCAACAAAUGCCACAAACAAUAAAUUGAAGGAGCAGGCUUGGCAAACCCUUGUAAAUGAUUUUAAUUCGUCGAUUCGUCGUUUCCCACGAACUCCAUCGCAGCUUCGACUAAAAUGGGAAAACUUAAAGAACGCUACGGCAACAUAAGAAACAACCUUAGUAAGGCUGGAGGUGGUAAGGAUUGCAGAUGAAAUUUUGGAUAAAGCAUGCACAUUGUUGUAGGUCACAUAUAAUAUUUUUAACACUUUUACAGCCAAGCGGAAACAAGAUGGAAGAAAAGAAAUGCAAGGCUAGCAUAGGGACAAUGCAUUAGCAGAAUAUCUAAUAGCAAAAAAGAGACUUGACUUGGAAAAUAAAGAAAAGGAGAUUGUUGUAGCAAAAAUUAAGUUAGAUUUAGAUAAUUAAAAAAAUUAAAAAUUACUUAAAAGGAAUAUUAAAUUUCAUAAAUUAAGUAGGCAAUAAUAAUUUUAUGUUAGAUAGUUUUUUAAGUAUAUGUACAAAUUCUAAGUUAAAUAUCUUGCAUGUACUAACUACCAUGUAAUUAUCAUUUUGGAAAAUAAAAAAUAGUCAAAUUA
Molecule: long non-coding RNA, 1132 nt
Organism: Bombyx mori (domestic silkworm)
Lineage: Eukaryota; Metazoa; Arthropoda; Insecta; Lepidoptera; Bombycidae
Exons: 3
Source: RefSeq, a predicted model, not a curated record